RNAcentral lists this ribosomal RNA (253 nucleotides) under uncultured bacterium. RNAcentral's name for it is "partial 16S ribosomal RNA". It matches the Rfam family "Bacterial small subunit ribosomal RNA", at positions 524 to 776 of the family's 1533-position model. The record is from RNAcentral.
UACGGAGGGUGCAAGCGUUAAUCGGAAUUACUGGGCGUAAAGCGCACGCAGGUGGCUGAGUCAGUCGAUUGUGAAAGCCCUGGGCUUAACCUGGGAAUUGCAGUCGAUACUACUCAGCUAGAGUAUGGGAGAGGGUAGUGGAAUUCCCGGUGUAGCGGUGAAAUGCGCAGAUAUCAGGAAGAACACCCGUGGCGAAAGCGGCUCUCUGGAACGGUACUGACGCUGAGACGCGAAAGCGUGGGGAGCGAACAGG